RNAcentral lists this ribosomal RNA (540 nucleotides) under Trachypenaeus curvirostris. Its description in RNAcentral is "partial 16S ribosomal RNA". It matches the Rfam family "Bacterial large subunit ribosomal RNA", at positions 1905 to 2620 of the family's 2925-position model. Lineage: Eukaryota; Metazoa; Arthropoda; Malacostraca; Decapoda; Penaeidae. The record is from RNAcentral.
CGUUAGAGACAACAACCAGGACGCCUGUGUAUAUUGAAUACAUGGUCUGGGUUCGGACAGGUGACCGUGCGAAGGUAGCAUAAUCAUUAGUCUUUUAAUUGAGGGCUUGUAUGAAUGGUUGGACAAAAAAUAAGCUGUCUCAGUUAUAAAAAUUGAAUUUAACUUUUAAGUGAAAAGGCUUAAAUAAUUUAGGGGGACGAUAAGACCCUAUAAAGCUUUACAAUUAUUUAAUUAAAUUAUAAAUUGUUAGUAUAAACUUAAUUUAAUUGAUGUUUGUUUCGUUGGGGCGACGAGAAUAUAAUUUAGUAACUGUUCUUUUAUAGUUUGUUACAAUAAUUUUUGGUAAAAAAUUGAUCCUUUAUUAAAGAUUAAAAGAUUAAGUUACUUUAGGGAUAACAGCGUAAUCUUCCUUGAAAGUUCAUAUCGACAGGAAGGGUUGCGACCUCGAUGUUGAAUUAAGAUUUCUCUAUGGCGCAGCAGUUAUAGUGAGAAGGUCUGUUCGACCUUUAAAUUCUUACGUGAUCUGAGUUUCAGACCAGA